This 253-nucleotide ribosomal RNA is filed under the name uncultured bacterium. RNAcentral describes it as "partial 16S ribosomal RNA". It matches the Rfam family "Bacterial small subunit ribosomal RNA", at positions 524 to 776 of the family's 1533-position model. The record is from RNAcentral.
UACGUAGGGUGCAAGCGUUAAUCGGAAUUACUGGGCGUAAAGGGCGCGUAGGCGGCACUGUUAGUCAGGCGUGAAAGUCCUGGGCUCAACCUGGGAACUGCGCUUGAUACGGCAGAGCUAGAGGAUGGAAGAGGCUCGCGGAAUUCCCAGUGUAGAGGUGAAAUUCGUAGAUAUUGGGAAGAACACCGGUGGCGAAGGCGGCGAGCUGGUCCAUUACUGACGCUGAGGCGCGACAGCGUGGUGAGCAAACAGG